AAGGGAGGCAGUAGUCUUAGGAGAGUGCUAAUUUUUCUUAGCCGUGGUUAGAGUCCAUGGGUCCCUUG
This 68-nucleotide transfer RNA is filed under the name Gymnothorax pictus. RNAcentral's name for it is "tRNA-Ser". Lineage: Eukaryota; Metazoa; Chordata; Actinopteri; Anguilliformes; Muraenidae. The record is from RNAcentral.